AUGAAUAAAGAAUCCUCUAUGUUUUCUGCUAUCUUUACAAUGACAACAGAGGCAAUGGUGGAGAGCAAUGAAAUUAUUAAGAUAUACAUCUUCCUAGCUAACCUGGUGAAUUCUCUCAGGGAGGAGGAUGGAGGACUUGCAUCCUAAGGCUUAUAAAAUUAGCUGAAAAAAUAGGUGCCCAGAUUGUUGCAAAACUAGAAAAAGCUUUUCAUGAAACAUCUAGCACAGACAAAAGACAAACAUCAAGAGGGAUUUUCCUUAAAGCUCCAAAAACUCUAGGCUUACUGACAAGCACUGAGAAGUUAAAAGCACACCACCUGCUGAUUCAGAGCUGAAUGAGUCAAAGCAAACACAUAAAAAACUCAAAGAAUUAGGAAGAAAUAACUAGACUUCAAGUUGGGGUUUAAGUUUUUGCAAAAGGUAACUUUAAACUCAAAAAGCCUGUGAGUACUAAGAAACUUCUAAGCUAAAUAAAAUUUGUGCAGAAAGACUAUAAGCUAUAAGACUAUAAGGCUAUAAGCCCAUUGACAACCCACCAGUCUUGGCAGUCCCUGACCACACCUUGAAAUAUAAAGCUUUGGUUCUGUGCUCAGAAUUCCAGAGCGGCAACUUAUGAUAAGAUGAUUAGAUCAAGUUAAGUCAUUCCUGAGAUGAGUGAGCACUCUAUGGAGACCAUUCCUGAGGGGCUCAAAAAGGGGCAACAACACCUGUCUCAUCAGGUGAGGUUGAACAAAGAGGAUCAUAGAUGCCAAAGCAUCAGCAACAGAUUGAUAAACUGGAACAUGUCCUCACACAGAUGCAGGCAUUGUCCUUAUCAGGAAGAACUGACCGGACCACACAGCAGCAACAGCAUCCCUCACAGUUGGCAUGCAGCUCAGAGGUUCUCAAACUCAGAACGACUGAAAAGAGGUAUACAACCUUUAUAGUUUAACUCUGCAGGCAAGCUGACUUUGAAGGAGCUGGGUGUAGUUCAUUCAGAGUCGGGAGAAAGAAGCCAACUCAUUUUCUAUAAGACAUGUGCAUAUACAGCUUCAACUAUUUACAAGAAGGAAUGGCAUUCGACAUAGACCGACUUUCAAAAACCUUCAAAACUGCAAAGAAUAAAACUCUGAAGUCUGAUCUGUAUGAUUUGAUGUAUGGGAUGAGCUUUGGAGGCAGAAAAAAAUGCAAUAAUAAAUCUGUGUGAAGAUAAAGAAGCCCAUUCUAAAGAAUUCUUAUGUGUUCUUUAGGAUGUACAGCAAGAGAAAUGGGAAGAAACAAGUGUGAACAGUGGAUGGCAAGCGUACAAACACAAGAAGAAAGUCUCUUUUCCAUGGAAAAAGUCACUAGGUCUCUGGAGAAGUCUAGAAAUGCUAACAGUGUGAUUGUAGCUGACCUCAUGGAGCCAAUCAAGAUCAUCAGUCCAUGAGUAAAUAGAAAUGGACACUGAAGCAAGACCUGGAGGAUGUGAGUCUCAAACAUGCACCUGAGCUCUGGCUGACAGCACGAUCGAGCUCCAGCAGAUAGAAUGUUGAGAUUCUAGAAGUGAAAGGAACCUUUGAGAGAACUCUGAGGACACAGAGCUCUGUGAAGACCUGGCUCAUGCCAUGAGUAUCUGAACAUGCUUCCCGGAGGCUCUGGAAGACACUUGGACUCUGCCAGCCUGCCAGGGAAAAGGGAGGCACCCAGUACAGCUCCAGGAACUGCAGCACAUGCUAUACUAGAAGGAGGCCGUGGAUCAGGAGAAGAAUAACUUCAUGGUGAAGCAAGGCAAACAUGUUAUGAUCUCCCUGGUAAGUAUCCCAGGAGUCCUGAUACCACCUUCUGGAAAACACAUGUGGCAAAACUCCUGGAAACACAGGAACAAGAGAGAUGAAAGUGUCUAAGGUUUCAUUGUAACCCCACUGUCAGACCUCAAAGAGAGAAAUCCAUAUCCCUGAAGUCUUCAGAAUGAAGCAAUUGUUGUGUGAAAUGGCGUGCAGACACCUGGAGUGGUUUAAGGAGAAGAAUGAGCUCCUGCCAGGUCAGCUAGGUGGCAUUAAAAGACAGAAGGACAACAGUGAU
RNAcentral lists this long non-coding RNA (2043 nucleotides) under Homo sapiens (human). RNAcentral describes it as "non-protein coding lnc-THBD-2:1". The record is from RNAcentral. Lineage: Eukaryota; Metazoa; Chordata; Mammalia; Primates; Hominidae.